GUCGAACGCAGUGAGACAACGGAGCCGCUUGCGGCGACGGCCCGAAGGGCGAGGCGAAGCCGAGUCAUCCUGCACGACCCACCA
RNAcentral lists this small RNA (84 nucleotides) under Klebsiella pneumoniae. RNAcentral's name for it is "partial RtT sRNA". It matches the Rfam family "RtT RNA", at positions 47 to 130 of the family's 130-position model. Rfam says of the family: This family represents a bacterial cis-regulatory element known as RtT RNA. The exact function of RtT is unknown although it is thought that it may be involved in changing the cellular response in relation to amino acid starvation. Lineage: Bacteria; Pseudomonadati; Pseudomonadota; Gammaproteobacteria; Enterobacterales; Enterobacteriaceae. RNAcentral also lists the same sequence under 1 other name. The record is from RNAcentral.